RNAcentral lists this ribosomal RNA (474 nucleotides) under uncultured bacterium. RNAcentral describes it as "bacterial SSU rRNA". It matches the Rfam family "Bacterial small subunit ribosomal RNA", at positions 335 to 802 of the family's 1533-position model. The record is from RNAcentral.
ACUCCUACGGGAGGCAGCAGUGGGGAAUAUUGGACAAUGGGCGAAAGCCUGAUCCAGCCAUGCCGCGUGUGUGAAGAAGGUCUUCGGAUUGUAAAGCACUUUAAGUUGGGAGGAAGGGCAGUAAGUUAAUACCUUGCUGUUUUGACGUUACCAACAGAAUAAGCACCGGCUAACUUCGUGCCAGCAGCCGCGGUAAUACGAAGGGUGCAAGCGUUAAUCGGAAUUACUGGGCGUAAAGCGCGCGUAGGUGGUUCAGCAAGUUGGAUGUGAAAUCCCCCGGGCUCAACCUGGGAACUGCAUCCAAAACUACUGAGCUAGAGUACGGUAGAGGGUGGUGGAAUUUCCUGUGUAGCGGUGAAAUGCGUAGAUAUAGGAAGGAACACCAGUGGCGAAGGCGACCACCUGGACUGAUACUGACACUGAGGUGCGAAAGCGUGGGAGCAAACAGGAUUAGAUACCCCUGGUAGACUGUCA